RNAcentral lists this ribosomal RNA (253 nucleotides) under uncultured bacterium. RNAcentral's name for it is "partial 16S ribosomal RNA". It matches the Rfam family "Bacterial small subunit ribosomal RNA", at positions 524 to 776 of the family's 1533-position model. The record is from RNAcentral.
UACGAAGGGGGCUAGCGUUGCUCGGAAUCACUGGGCGUAAAGGGUGCGUAGGCGGACUCUUAAGUCAGGGGUGAAAGCCUGAGGCUCAACCUCAGAACUGCCUUUGAUACUGAGAGUCUCGAGACCGGAAGAGGUAAGUGGAACUGCGAGUGUAGAGGUGAAAUUCGUAGAUAUUCGCAAGAACACCAGUGGCGAAGGCGGCUUACUGGUCCGGUUCUGACGCUGAGGCACGAAAGCGUGGGGAGCAAACAGG